Molecule: unclassified non-coding RNA, 1219 nt
Filed under: Fusarium duoseptatum
Lineage: Eukaryota; Fungi; Ascomycota; Sordariomycetes; Hypocreales; Nectriaceae
Description: partial 28S-18S ribosomal RNA intergenic spacer
Source: RNAcentral
CCCCAAUGGGUUCUCCGGAUUUCUGGAGACUUGUAGGGGUUGUGGGUUUUUUCGAUGUGUCGUCUCCGGACGGGCGGUGCAGGGUAGUCGAGUUAGACUUGGUGGAAUUCCGUCGAUAGGAGUUCCGUCGAGUCUGGUCGGCUGUGUGUUGAACGGUGCAGGGUAGGCUGCUUGGACAUGGUCGGUUCGAGGAUCGAUUCGAGGGCCGGCCUGUCGAUGAUGUGUGAUGUAUGCAGUCUAGGGUAGGCUGGUUUGUCUUGGUCCAAUUUGAUGUCGGCUCCCGUGCAGGCCAGAGUGAGGGGGGUCCAGGGUAGGUCCAGGGUAGGCAGCUUAGAUUUGGUCGAUCUGGAGGUCGAUUCUCCGGCUGGCGGAUCUGACACUGUCGAAACGAGAUGCGGGCGGUGUAGGGUAGGCUAGUUUCGUCCUCGCCAGGUUGCGAUUUGGACGAGAUAUGUGGUCUAGGGUAUGCUCUAGGGUAAGUAGAAUUCGAGUUCCGUCGCCGACAGUUUUCUGUGGGUGUAUGGUAGGUACAGGGUAGGCAGAUCUCUCUCCGGCCAGUACUUGUCUGGUGGUCGUGAGUCGAUUUUUUUGUUUUGCCAUACUAUUGAAUUUUGCGGAAAUUCAAAAGUGGCUCGGGAGUCCCGCCUGGCGUGCGUCCGACUCGAACAUCGUCGGUGUACAUAUGAGAGGGAGUAAUCCGGCCCGGUCGGGGCCCAUCGCGAGCUGCCGGGUAGGUAAAAGUAAAAAAGUUGUUAAGAGGCGCGGUGUCGGCGUGCUUGUAUUUGCGGGAGAGAAUUAUCUGGGGGUGCUGGGUAGCCGGGAAGACUUGGACGGAUCUGGCCCGGGAAUGGGUCUGGGCCUGGAUUCUGGUGUGGUGUAGGGUAGGCGUAGAUAGAUGAGUGGUCUAGGGUAGAUACAGGGUAGCCAGACGUCUGGUAUAUAGUAUGGGGGUGUAGGGUAGGUCUGGACACCGUUUUCCACUUCGCCCUUCCCUUUAGUCGAGGGAGGACGAUCUUGGCUGGGACGGAGGUGUAGGGUAGGCUUAACUUACGAUUACAUGAUCUGUGUCACUCUAGGGUAGGUGAAAAUCCCAUAUAUAUAUGAUCACAUUUGGUGAAGAGGUGGUUUGGCUGGUGAGAUGGACAAAAGUGCAAUAUAGAAUUAUAUGUGAUUUUGCAAAGUGGGUGUGAAAUUGGGAAAUCGGUUUUCCCGCACAGAU